GAUGAACGCUGGCGGCGUGCCUAAUACAUGCAAGUCGAGCGAACAGACGAGGAGCUUGCUCCUUUGACGUUAGCGGCGGACGGGUGAUUAACACGUGGGUAACCUACCUAUAAGACUGGGAUAACUUCGGGAAACCGGAGCUACUACCGGAUGAUAUUUCGACCCGCAUUGUUCGAUCGUGAAAGAUGGCUUUUCUAUCACUUAUAGAUGGACCUGCGCCGUAUUAGCUAGUUGGUAAGGUAACGGCUUACCAAGGCAACGAUACGUAGCCGACCUGAGAGGGUGAUCGGCCACACUGGAACUGAGACACGGUCCAGACUCCUACGGGAGGCAGCAGUAGGGAAUCUUCCGCGAUGGGCGAAAGCCUGACGGAGCAACGCCGCGUGAGUGAUGAAGGUCUUCGGAUCGUAAAACUCUGUUAUUAGGGAAGAAUAAACGUGUAAGUAACUGUGCACGUCUUGACGGUACCUAAGCAGAAAGCCACGGCUAACUACGUG
RNAcentral lists this ribosomal RNA (497 nucleotides) under uncultured bacterium. Its description in RNAcentral is "partial 16S ribosomal RNA". It matches the Rfam family "Bacterial small subunit ribosomal RNA", at positions 28 to 507 of the family's 1533-position model. The record is from RNAcentral.